This 472-nucleotide ribosomal RNA is filed under the name Lacticaseibacillus casei. Its description in RNAcentral is "bacterial SSU rRNA". It matches the Rfam family "Bacterial small subunit ribosomal RNA", at positions 67 to 525 of the family's 1533-position model. Lineage: Bacteria; Bacillati; Bacillota; Bacilli; Lactobacillales; Lactobacillaceae. The record is from RNAcentral.
CUUGACCGAGAUUCAACAUGGAACGAGUGGCGGACGGGUGAGUAACACGUGGGUAACCUGCCCUUAAGUGGGGGAUAACAUUUGGAAACAGAUGCUAAUACCGCAUAGAUCCAAGAACCGCAUGGUUCUUGGCUGAAAGAUGGCGUAAGCUAUCGCUUUUGGAUGGACCCGCGGCGUAUUAGCUAGUUGGUGAGGUAACGGCUCACCAAGGCGAUGAUACGUAGCCCGAACUGAGAGGUUGAUCGGCCACAUUGGGACUGAGACACGGCCCAAACUCCUACGGGAGGCAGCAGUAGGGAAUCUUCCACAAUGGACGCAAGUCUGAUGGAGCAACGCCGCGUGAGUGAAGAAGGCUUUCGGGUCGUAAAACUCUGUUGUUGGAGAAGAAUGGUCGGCAGAGUAACUGUUGUCGGCGUGACGGUAUCCAACCAGAAAGCCACGGCUAACUACGUGCCAGCAGCGNGGUAUUUAA